This 27-nucleotide non-coding RNA is filed under the name Bombyx mori (domestic silkworm). Lineage: Eukaryota; Metazoa; Arthropoda; Insecta; Lepidoptera; Bombycidae. The record is from RNAcentral.
ACACUUCCAGGAAAACAGUUUGUCGGC